UGCGCCAUAAAGUCAAUCAUUCGAAACUUCCAGUUCCAGAUGAAAGAUCGUUUCGUAAUUUGUUUGUGAGAGGAUGUGUAUGAAUUCUUAACAAAAUGCAUUGUUGUCUAUAUUUUGCUGUAAUUCUUUUGGUGUUUACAAAACCGUCGGAUCCAAAAAAGUCUGAUGAUGCUCUUGCUAAGUCGUUACUUCAAUUUAAAGAUUUGGUGCCAACAAGUUCCUCGGAGUCUGAAGAAAGUAGAGAAAUGAAGAAUUACUUAAAAUACGUUG
This is a long non-coding RNA of Ostrinia nubilalis (European corn borer), 270 nucleotides long. RefSeq lists it as uncharacterized. The transcript is spliced from 4 exons. The record is from RefSeq and is a predicted model, not a curated record. Lineage: Eukaryota; Metazoa; Arthropoda; Insecta; Lepidoptera; Crambidae.